RNAcentral lists this ribosomal RNA (251 nucleotides) under uncultured bacterium. Its description in RNAcentral is "partial 16S ribosomal RNA". It matches the Rfam family "Bacterial small subunit ribosomal RNA", at positions 103 to 354 of the family's 1533-position model. The record is from RNAcentral.
CGGGUGAGUAACACGUGAGCAACCUGCCUUUCAGAGGGGAAUAACGUUUGGAAACGAACGCUAAUACCGCAUAACAUUGGGAUAUGGCAUCAUGACCCAAUCAAAGAUUUAUCGCUGAAAGAUGGGCUCGCGCCCGAUUAGGUAGUUGGUGAGAUAAUAGCCCACCAAGCCGACGAUCGGUAGCCGGACUGAGAGGUUGAACGGCCACAUUGGGACUGAGACACGGCCCAGACUCCUACGGAAGGCAGCAG